GAUGAACGCUGGCGGCGUGCCUAAUACAUGCAAGUCGAGCGAACAGAUGAGGAGCUUGCUCCUCUGACGUUAGCGGCGGACGGGUGAGUAACACGUGGAUAACCUACCUAUAAGACUGGGAUAACUUCGGGAAACCGGAGCUAAUACCGGAUAAUAUAUUGAACCGCAUGGUUCAAUAGUGAAAGACGGUUUUGCUGUCACUUAUAGAUGGAUCCGCGCCGCAUUAGCUAGUUGGUAAGGUAACGGCUUACCAAGGCAACGAUGCGUAGCCGACCUGAGAGGGUGAUCGGCCACACUGGAACUGAGACACGGUCCAGACUCCUACGGGAGGCAGCAGUAGGGAAUCUUCCGCAAAGGGCGAAAGCCUGACGGAGCAACGCCGCGGGAGUGAUGAAGGUCUUCGGAUCGUAAAACUCUGUUAUUAGGGAAGAACAAAUGUGUAAGUAACUAUGCACGUCUUGACGGUACCUAAUCAGAAAGCCACGGCUAACUACGUG
RNAcentral lists this ribosomal RNA (497 nucleotides) under uncultured bacterium. RNAcentral's name for it is "partial 16S ribosomal RNA". It matches the Rfam family "Bacterial small subunit ribosomal RNA", at positions 28 to 507 of the family's 1533-position model. The record is from RNAcentral.